UGAAUACGAGACGCUAAGGCGUCGAAGUAGUGUAUGUCAUACUUCCAAGAAAAGCUUGCACUGUCAUAAGUAAAAAAUGCCUGUACCAUAACCGACACAGGUGGGUAGGUAGAGUAUACUAAGGGGCGCGAGAUAACUCUCUCUAAGGAACUCGGCAAAAUAACUCCGUAACUUCGGGAGAAGGAGUACCUUAUUCUAUAAGGUUGCAAUAACAAGAUCCAAGCAACUGUUUAUCAAAAACACAGGUCUCCGCUAAGUCGUAAGACGAUGUAUGGGGGCUGACGCCUGCCCAGUGCCAGAAGGUUAAAGAAGUCGGUUAGCAUUGGCGAAGCUGGUAACUGAAGCCCUGGUGAACGGCGGCCGUAACUAUAACGGUCCUAAGGUAGCGAAAUUCCUUGUCGGGUAAGUUCCGACCCGCACGAAAGGCGUAAUGAUUUGGAUACUGUCUCGGAGAGGGGCUCGGUGAAAUAGACUUGUCUGUGAAGAUGCGGACUACCUGCACCAGGACAGAAAGACCCUAUGAAGCUUUACUGUAACUUGAAAUUGAAAUUGGACUUUAUUCGCGCAGUAUAGGUGGGAGGUGUUGAUUAUAAUCUUGCGGGAUUAUUGGAGCCAUCAGUGAGAUACCACUCUUGUAAUGUUAGAUUUCUAACUUUGAAUCAUUAUCUGGUCAAAGGACAGUUUCAGGCGGGCAGUUUGACUGGGGCGGUCGCCUCCCAAACGGUAACGGAGGCGUACAAAGGUUUCCUCUGAACGGGUAGAAAUCGUAUCUAGAGUGUAAAGGCAUAAGGAAGCUUGACUGUGAGACCUACAAGUCGAACAGGGACGAAAGUCGGUCUUAGUGAUCUGACGGUACUGAGUGGAAAGGCCGUCACUCAACGGAUAAAAGUUACUCUAGGAUAACAGGCUGAUCUCCCCCAAGAGUUCACAUCGACGGGGAGGUUUGGCACCUCGAUGUCGGCUCAUCGCAUCCUGGGGCGGUAGUACGUCCCAAGGGUUGGGCUGUUCGCCCAUGAAAGCGGUACGCGGGCUGGGUUCAGAACGUCGUGAGACAGUUCGGUCCAUAUCCGGUGUAGGCGUUAGAAUAUUGAGAGGAGCCUUCUUUAGUACGAGAGGACCGAGAAGGACAUACCUCUGGUGUACCAGUUAUCGUGCCAACGGUAAACGCUGGGUAGCUAUGUAUGGAGUGGAUAACCGCUGAAAGCAUCUAAGUGGGAAGCCCACCUCAAGAUAAGUAUUC
RNAcentral lists this ribosomal RNA (1240 nucleotides) under metagenome. RNAcentral describes it as "bacterial LSU rRNA". It matches the Rfam family "Bacterial large subunit ribosomal RNA", at positions 1564 to 2813 of the family's 2925-position model. The record is from RNAcentral.